UGGGGAAUAUUGCAAAUGGGGGAAACCCUGAUGCAGCGACGCCGCGUGAACGAAGAAGGUAUUCGUAUCGUAAAGUUCUGUCCUAUGGGAAGAUAAUGACAGUACCAUAGAAGAAAGCUCCGGCUAAAUACGUGCCAGCAGCCGCGGUAAUACGUAUGGAGCGAGCGUUGUCCGGAAUUAUUGGGCGUAAAGGGUACGCAGGCGGUUUAAUAAGUCGAAUGUUAAAGAUCGGGGCUCAACCCCGCAAAGCAUUGGAAACUGAUAAACUUGAGUAGUGGAGAGGAAAGUGGAAUUCCUAGUGUAGUGGUGAAAUACGUAGAUAUUAGGAGGAAUACCAGUAGCGAAGGCGACUUUCUGGACACAAACUGACGCUGAGGUACGAAAGCGUGGGGAGCAAACAGG
RNAcentral lists this ribosomal RNA (402 nucleotides) under bacterium. RNAcentral's name for it is "partial 16S ribosomal RNA". It matches the Rfam family "Bacterial small subunit ribosomal RNA", at positions 355 to 776 of the family's 1533-position model. The record is from RNAcentral.